RNAcentral lists this ribosomal RNA (327 nucleotides) under uncultured eukaryote. Its description in RNAcentral is "partial 18S ribosomal RNA". It matches the Rfam family "Eukaryotic small subunit ribosomal RNA", at positions 1470 to 1796 of the family's 1831-position model. The record is from RNAcentral.
UCCUUAGAUGUUCUGGGCCGCACGCGCGCUACACUGACGAAUGCAACGAGCUUAUAACCUUGGCCGAAAGGUCUGGGUAAUCUCCAAAUUUCGUCGUGAUGGGGAUAGAUUAUUGCAAUUAUUAAUCUUCAACGAGGAAUGCCUAGUAAGCGCAAGUCAUCAGCUUGCGUUGAUUACGUCCCUGCCCUUUGUACACACUGCCCGUCGCUCCUACCGAUUGAAUGGUCCGGUGAAGCGUUCGGACCGUGGCCUUUGGACGGUUCGCCGUCUGUUGGCUGCGGGAAGUUCGUUAAACCUUAUCAUUUAGAGGAAGGAGAAGUCGUANCA